GAUGUAGUGCAAUAUGUAAUAUGGCUAAAUUGUAGGGGUACAAUGAACAAUAUAAUGGCCUAACAUCGGCAUCAGCCAAUAUUUGCCUUGUUGACUGGUAUCGGCUUAUCUAUGGCAAUACAAUGGCAGUGGCUUGCGUAUAGUUCUUACAAUUUUCAUAUAGUUCAAUUCUUUUUAUAAUGAAUAGAUGAUAGCUUCAGCGAAAGUUCUACUAGGAAGACUCGUAGUGUAGCUUACUCCUCCCAUGCUUACACAGAGCCAAUCUGAGCUUUGCCUACUUUUGGGAAAGCCCUGCAAUCUGAUCAUUCACUCAUUCAAUCAGCGCUAGCCUAUAGGAAUUCAAUGGCUCUUUAAAUAUGUACCACCUAACACUGCUUCUGCUUCUCAGUAUGCUGACUUUGACGUCCUAGCUCAGGCUUCCGCGUGGACCUGGGCUCUCUGCAUUUUUACAUUCGCCCCUUCUGCCCUCAGUGGCGUUACUUGUUACAAUCCUACCGCGCUCGUUUGCUGCGCUGUUCAGACCUGUGCGUCCUUCAGUCAGGGCCACUGCAUGUCGCUUCAUCGCUAAUCUCUGCAUAUCGGAGCCAGUCACGCUCACGCUGUUGCAGCCUUCACUUCACGGUAACCUACUGCCGGGUCGCCGUCCUCGCGCAACUCUGUUGCAGGCCCAUGUCGUUUUCGGCAACGAUUUCUCAAGCUUCAGCGUCUGGUUGGUAAGGUUAUCGUGCUCUCUCUUCCCAAGCUCCUCGAGCUGGGCUACACUCUACCCACAGUCAUGCAACCUGCUUGCCAACGAUAUUCGGCGGGCAGCAAACAAACAGACUUGUCUGACACGGUUUAACUUUCACUUAAGCCUCCUUACAAUAAUUCCUGCUGAUUUUAUAAUCCCUGCGAUUUGUGCUGUUCAUUGCUAGCUGCACCACGCUGCCGUUGAACCCAACCCUGUAUUAAGACCUGUUUAAUUGAUGUUCUACACUCACUGUGGUUAUCUCGAUGUCUACCUUGGUUGAGCGUCGUCAAACCAGUUGUCUUUUUGUAAGAUUGGAAUAGCGUCGUUUAGGGAA
Molecule: long non-coding RNA, 1064 nt
Organism: Alosa sapidissima (American shad)
Lineage: Eukaryota; Metazoa; Chordata; Actinopteri; Clupeiformes; Clupeidae
Exons: 4
Source: RefSeq, a predicted model, not a curated record